UUGACAGCUUUGGAAACUGAUGACUUCUUUUUCUCUCAAUAAUAGAUACAGCCUGAUAAACAGAGGGAUAAGAUUCUUCCAACUGCUUCUCCAAUAGGCCUUCACCCUGACAAAGUAAUGGCUGCAAGGAAGAAAGAACAAGUCACCUUUUCCAGCCAGUUCUCUGCAGGCAAUGCU
This is an unclassified non-coding RNA of Cebus imitator (Panamanian white-faced capuchin), 177 nucleotides long. NCBI's taxonomy places the organism in Eukaryota, Metazoa, Chordata, Mammalia, Primates, Cebidae. The record is from Ensembl.